UACCAGCACCUCGAGUGGUCAGGAGGUUUAUUGGGCCUAAAGCAUCCGUAGCCGGCUGUUCAAGUUUCCGGUUAAAUCCACACGCUUAACGUAUGGGCUGCCGGAAAUACUGUUCAGCUAGGGAGUGGGAGAGGUAGACGGUACUCGAUAGGAAGGGGUAAAAUCCUUUGAUCUAUUGAUGACACCUGUGGCGAAGGCGGUCUACCAGAACACGUUCGACGGUGAGGGAUGAAAGCUGGGGGAGCAAACCGGAUUAGAUACCCGGGUAGUCCCAGCUGUAAACGAUGCAGACUCGGUGAUGCAUUGGCUUGUGGCCAGUGCAGUGCCGCAGGGAAGCCGUUAAGUUUGCCGCCUGGGAAGUACGUACGCAAGUAUGAAACUUAAAGGAAUUGGCGGGGGAGCACCACAAGGGGUGAAGCCUGCGGUUCAAUUGGAGUCAACGCCAGAAAUCUUACCCGGGGAGACAGCAGAAUGAAGGUCAAGCUGAAGACUUUACCAGACAAGCUGAGAGGUGGUGCAUGGCCGUCGCCAGCUCGUGCCGUGAGAUGUCCUGUUAAGUCAGGUAACGAGCGAGACCCUUGCCUCUAGUUGCCACCAUUACUCUCUGGAGUAGUGGGGCGAAUUAGCGGGACCGCCACAGUUAAUGUGGAGGAAGGAGAGGGCCACGGCAGG
RNAcentral lists this ribosomal RNA (672 nucleotides) under uncultured prokaryote. Its description in RNAcentral is "bacterial SSU rRNA". It matches the Rfam family "Archaeal small subunit ribosomal RNA", at positions 474 to 1145 of the family's 1478-position model. The record is from RNAcentral.